CUCUUUUCUCUUUCUCUCUUUCACGAUGUUUUCUGGAAAAAACAGAGAAACAACAACCACCAAAAACUUGCCUCACUUUCUCGGUUUCUCUCACGGUACUCUCGGUUUCUCCAAUGAAACGAACACAACAACAGCAGAAACAAAACUCUCUUUCGUUUCUUUUUAUCCCUCUUGCGAGUUUGCUCUGAACAACAAUGGCAACUCGGUUUUACGGCGGCCAUGGAGGAGAAACAGAAGGAAAAAAUCCGGGUAUAACAUAUUCACAGCAAUAAUUUAAUGGUAACUUUGGAAGUGAAAAUGAGAAAGCUUACCUACGGCGAGGAGGUGUUCGCCGGAUUUUGUGUUGAGGUACAACAAUGGUUAAAUGAAAUAUUGAGAGUGAAGGAAGAGAGACUUACCGGCAAGGAGUUUUUCGCCGGAUUAAUUGCUGUGGCUCUUUGAUGAAGGUGAUGCCACAACACCUCUUUUGGAUUGUGGGAGACUUGAAGAUGAAGAUCUUCAAGUGAGGUAUGAAGAACUACCUCUCCCUUCUUUGUAACUAUGGAACUUCUUGAAAAUUAUGAUAAGAGAGAAGUGAGAAAACUAGUAAUAUAGUAGCUUUGGUGUGUUUUGCUUCAAUGAGAGAACUUCCUAUUUAUAGGCAAAGUUAAGGGAGUGUUUGGCAAUUGGUAAUCUUGAUUGGCAAGUUUCAAUCAUUGCAAGAUAAGAUAAAGAAUAAGAAUAUUCUUUAUGAGAUUUUUCUCUUGCAAGUGGACAUGAAAUAUCUUUGUUCCUUUUGUCUUGAAUUAUUUCUUUUUUUGAAUUAUUUCUUUUGUUGGAUUUUUGCUAAUCUCACCCCUUUUUGUUUCUUUUUUUCAUGUGACAUGAUCAUUCUUGAGGAAAGCAUGAAGAAAAUUGAUUUGAAGAAUGGAGACUUUGAAGAUUUCAAGAGUGAAUUCAAGAAUGUCUUUGAAGUUUUUUUCUUGUAAUUCCUUGUAAUUCCAACUUUGUAUGAAUGGAACUUUGAAAUGA
This is a long non-coding RNA of Vicia villosa (hairy vetch), 1011 nucleotides long. RefSeq lists it as uncharacterized. The transcript is spliced from 4 exons. The record is from RefSeq and is a predicted model, not a curated record. NCBI's taxonomy places the organism in Eukaryota, Viridiplantae, Streptophyta, Magnoliopsida, Fabales, Fabaceae.